ACACAGGUGAAAGUUUUCAUGUAAACAAUAGUAAUUAUAUAAAAUGUAAAUAUGCUUAAACUUAAAAGGGAGCUAAUAAAUAACUCUUAAUUCCAAUAUUGCCACAAUACUUUUACUAUCUAAGCUUUAAAUCUGUAUUUAUUGUUGUAUUAUCUACACAUAAUUUUUUUAUGAGUGUGUUUGUGUGUGUGUUUUAUUGUAUUUAUUGUGUGAAUAUUUUCAGCUCUUUACCAAGACUGUGAUACAUCAAACAUACAUGUAUUUGUGAUUCUUUUCCUGUUUUAACCUUUUUACAUAUGAAAGUCAGGGCAAAUUCGUUUAUUAUAUAAUUAAUAAAACCAAGCAACAAAACAAUAUCGCUCCAGCUCUGAAGUGACUAGCCAAUGACAUAAAGAGAUACACAACUGUAAAAUCAUUGAAUUCGAAAUUUUAGUAAAUGUGAUAGGUGUCAAAUAUACUUCAAUAACAAUUUGUAAUUGUUAUCACUACUGUAUCAUUAUUAUCAUAUUAUAUUUUGUGUUGAUUAAACAAAUACAAAACUGCUUACUUAUUAGUAUGUUUAGUCUCAAUUAGUCAUUAGAAUGAUACCAACUCAAAUUUUAAAAAAGCACAGUGUUCUGCUUACGGAAAUGCCCGUACCAAUUCAGGAUAAAACACUGUAACUUGUUUUUUUCUUUCGUUUAAUCUAUUUUUGAGCGUUAGGUUUUUCCCAUUUUGUUAAGAAACAUUCCGUCUUAAAUUUUGCUUGGUUUCCGGUAUAUUUGUUACUUAACCUUUUGGUGAUACCAGAACUGUGAUAGAUUACAGUAAGGAAGAAGAUAUGAGCACACAAUUAUUAUUAGUACUCGUAUUGUCGUCGUUGUUCGUGGUUAAUUGAGUAUUGAAUAUAUUAAUAUCAUUUUAUUGGG
Molecule: long non-coding RNA, 908 nt
Filed under: Mytilus galloprovincialis (Mediterranean mussel)
Lineage: Eukaryota; Metazoa; Mollusca; Bivalvia; Mytilida; Mytilidae
Source: RNAcentral